AUUGAACGCUGGCGGCAUGCCUUACACAUGCAAGUCGAACGGUAACGCGGGGCAACCCUGGCGACGAGUGGCGGACGGGUGAGUAAUGCUUGGGAAUCUACCCAGUAGCGGGGGACAACCUAGGGAAACUUAGGCUAAUACCGCAUACGACCUACGGGUGAAAGCAGGGGAUCGCAAGACCUUGCACUAUUGGAUGAGCCCAAGUCGGAUUAGCUUGUUGGUGGGGUAACGGCCUACCAAGGCGACGAUCCGUAGCUGGUCUGAGAGGACGAUCAGCCACACUGGGACUGAGACACGGCCCAGACUCCUACGGGAGGCAGCAGUGGGGAAUAUUGGACAAUGGGGGCAACCCUGAUCCAGCAAUGCCGCGUGGAUGAAGAAGGUCUUCGGAUUGUAAAGUCCUUUCGGCGGGGACGAUGAUGACGGUACCCGCAGAAGAAGCCCCGGCUAACUUCGUGCCAGCAGCCGCGGUAAGUCUCGCGUGA
This 485-nucleotide ribosomal RNA is filed under the name uncultured bacterium. RNAcentral describes it as "bacterial SSU rRNA". It matches the Rfam family "Bacterial small subunit ribosomal RNA", at positions 29 to 532 of the family's 1533-position model. The record is from RNAcentral.